This 253-nucleotide ribosomal RNA is filed under the name uncultured bacterium. Its description in RNAcentral is "partial 16S ribosomal RNA". It matches the Rfam family "Bacterial small subunit ribosomal RNA", at positions 524 to 776 of the family's 1533-position model. The record is from RNAcentral.
UACGAAGGGGCCUAGCGUUGUUCGGAUUUACUGGGCGUAAAGCGCACGUAGGCGGAUCUUUAAGUCAGAGGUGAAGUCCCAAGGCUCAACCUUGGAACUGCCUUUGAUACUGAGAAGCUUGAGUCCGGGAGAGGUGAGUGGAACUGCGAGUGUAGAGGUGAAAUUCGUAGAUAUUCGCAAGAACACCAGUGGCGAAGGCGGCUCACUGGCCCGGUACUGACGCUGAGGUGCGAAAGCGUGGGGAGCAAACAGG